GGGGGUUUGAUCAUGGCUCAGAGCGAACGCUGGCGGCAUGCUUAACACAUGCAGGUCGCGCGGCCGGCAACGGCAGCGGCGGACGGGUGCGUAACGCGUAGGAACAUGUCCGGAGGUGGGGGACAACCCUGGGAAACUGGGGCUAAUACCGCAUGGGGGCUGAGGCCCAAAGCCGCGAGGCGCCUUUGGAGUGGCCUGCGUCCGAUUAGCUUGUUGGUGGGGUAACGGCCUACCAAGGCUGCGAUCGGUAGCUGGUCUGAGAGGACGACCAGCCACACUGGGACUGAGACACGGCCCAGACUCCUACGGGAGGCAGCAGUGGGGAAUAUUGGACAAUGGGCGCAAGCCUGAUCCAGCAAUGCCGCGUGGGUGAAGAAGGUCUUCGGAUUGUAAAGCCCUUUCGGCGGGGACGAUGAUGACGGUACCCNCAGAANAAGCCCCGGCUAACUUCGUGCCACAGCUCGCGGUUAAUACGAAGGGGGCUAGCGUUGCUCUAGAAUCACUUGGGCGGUAAUAGGGCGCGUUAGGCAGGCCCUGUUAUUCAGGCGUGUAAUUCCUUGGGUCUUCAACCUGGG
Molecule: ribosomal RNA, 575 nt
Filed under: uncultured Pseudomonadota bacterium
Lineage: Bacteria; Pseudomonadati; Pseudomonadota
Description: bacterial SSU rRNA
Rfam family: Bacterial small subunit ribosomal RNA
Source: RNAcentral